This 77-nucleotide transfer RNA is filed under the name Holophaga sp. RNAcentral's name for it is "tRNA-Arg". It matches the Rfam family "tRNA". From Rfam's summary of the family: Transfer RNA (tRNA) molecules are approximately 80 nucleotides in length. Their secondary structure includes four short double-helical elements and three loops (D, anti-codon, and T loops). Lineage: Bacteria; Pseudomonadati; Acidobacteriota; Holophagae; Holophagales; Holophagaceae. RNAcentral also lists the same sequence under 2 other names. The record is from RNAcentral.
GCAGCCGUAGCUCAGUUGGAUAGAGCGUUGGCCUCCGAAGCCAAAGGUCGCGCGUUCGAGUCGCGCCGGUUGCACCA